RNAcentral lists this transfer RNA (67 nucleotides) under Rubus allegheniensis (Allegheny blackberry). RNAcentral describes it as "partial tRNA-Phe". The stretch from base 20 to 67 matches the Rfam family "tRNA", at positions 1 to 46 of the family's 71-position model. Rfam says of the family: Transfer RNA (tRNA) molecules are approximately 80 nucleotides in length. Their secondary structure includes four short double-helical elements and three loops (D, anti-codon, and T loops). The record is from RNAcentral. Lineage: Eukaryota; Viridiplantae; Streptophyta; Magnoliopsida; Rosales; Rosaceae.
GGGUGAUGCGUCGUGAAUGGUCGGGAUAGCUCAGCUGGUAGAGCAGAGGACUGAAAAUCCUCGUGUC